UUGGAUCCGAGGAGGACGCGAGGGCGGAGGAAGGUUGCGGGAGGUGGCGGGAGGGGAGGGAAGACUUGAAUGUGGUCAGGGGAGGAAGUGCGGGAGCCGAGUGCCCUUCUGGCCAGCUCCGAAGCCCGUGCCCUUUGGCCCUGGCUGCCCCUAGCUGGGCUUCCAGCGGGCCCAGGGGAAUAAGAACAGACGCGGCAUGCAGGAGAUUUCAGAAGAACCGGGGACACAGCAGCGGGCACAGGCAAAGACACAGUCACCAGCUUACUACUCGGCACAGCAGUUUCUAGUCGGAGAACAUCACAUGGAAGGAAGAGGAGUCGUUGCCGCGUGGGGAUGAACCCGAAGCACACUGCACAGUGGAGGAAGGAGGAGGAAGCAUGUCCCGUGACGCGUCAGUGGGCUGUGCGCACGCACUGGUUUUACACCUUUUGAACGACUCACGUAUUUACUUUUAUUUUGCCCUCAACGUAUUUUCUGUGAUAUAACUUUAUUUGUAGUGAAGUUUGGAUGCAAGAUCACCGUGAACCCCCUAAAUGCUGAGAAAUCGUUGAAUGGUGCGGAAAGAAGGCUGUGCCUUCCGAAGAACCCCUUCUGCGCCAGCACCCCCACUAUCAAGUCUUUCUUCCUCCUUCCUUCCUCUUUCGCAGCAAGGUUUUCAGGAGAGAGCUGACAUCUUUAAGGGAAGGAUAGGUGUAUUUUUUGGAUUAGCGAUGCUCUCUGCAGCGUACAAAUGAAGUCGCAUUGCCUCAUGGAGCUCAUGGCUACUAUCUUGGGAACCAACUGAAGCAGCUGGAGAAUUGAAGUCGUUGGCAUUCAUUCGAACGUCUCCAUUCCUUGCUGAAGACAGAAAGACAUCGUUCUCAACGUGUUGAGUUUGUGAUCCUAGGGACCAAGGUUUGGCGUUUUCCCACUAAGAUGAAAUGACUACAGACCCAUUGACUAAGGACCAUGAAGGCUCAAGUAAACAUAAGGAAAAGGGUGUGUAUCACUAAGGUUUAGGUUUAACUAAAAGGCAGACCUCCAUGGUAACACUGCUGACUUAAGACAGUGGUAUAUUUCUCUGUCUUGUGUAAAGGUCUGGAAGGUAAGUAAUUCAGGGAUGUUGUAGGAUCUCUAUUCCUCUAAGUCUCCAGGGACUCAAACUCCUUCUGGUUUACUGCUUUACCAUCCCACUGGUGUGGUCCUUAUCCUCAUAGUCCAAGAAGGCAGCUAGAGCUCCAGCUCUCUCACCACGUUACAAGCAAAAGGAUAGAAAUAGUGACAGAGACAAAGGGAAGUAUGAUGGUUGAGAUUAUGUGUCGACUUGACUGGCCGUGGGCUGCCCAGAUUAAACAUUAUUUCUAGGUGUGUCUGUAAGGGUGUUUCUGAAUGAGAUUGGCAUUUGAAUCUGUGAACUCAGUAAAGUAAAUUGCCCUCCCUAAAGUGGGUGGGCAUCAUCCAUUCUGCUGAGGGCCUGAAUAGAACAAAAGAUGGAGGAAGGAGGAGUUCGCUGGGACAUCUCCUCUCGUCUUCUGCCUCAGGCUAGGACUGACACUACUGGCUCCCCUGGUCCUCAGGCCUUUGGACUCAGACUGAAUUAUAUCACUGGCUUUCCUGCAUCUCAAGGGUCUGCAGACAGCAGAUUGUGGGGCUUCCUUGCCUCCAUAAUCGUGGGAGCCAAUUCCUCAUAAUAAAUGUCCUUUGAUAUCUGUGUA
Equus caballus (horse) is the source of this 1694-nucleotide non-coding RNA. The record is from RefSeq and is a predicted model, not a curated record. NCBI's taxonomy places the organism in Eukaryota, Metazoa, Chordata, Mammalia, Perissodactyla, Equidae.